CCAAACAGAGAAGGAAAAGUUUGCAAAUGAACUGAAAGAGAUGAAUAGGAGUAUUGAGCAGGUGAAGGAAGAAAAAGAAAAUUUGACCAGUGAACUUCAAAGAACAAAGAACAUUAUGGAUGAGGGAGAG
Molecule: non-coding RNA, 130 nt
Organism: Electrophorus electricus (electric eel)
Lineage: Eukaryota; Metazoa; Chordata; Actinopteri; Gymnotiformes; Gymnotidae
Source: RefSeq, a predicted model, not a curated record